Molecule: ribosomal RNA, 616 nt
Filed under: uncultured bacterium
Lineage: Bacteria
Description: bacterial SSU rRNA
Rfam family: Bacterial small subunit ribosomal RNA
Source: RNAcentral
GAGUUGAUCCUGGCUCAGGAUGAACGCUAGCGGCAGGCCUAACACAUGCAAGUCGAGGGGUAACAGGAAAGCUUGCUUUGCUGACGACCGGCGCACGGGUGCGUAACGCGUAUGCAACCUACCUCAUACUGGAGCUUAGCCCUUGGAAACGAGGAUUAAUACUCCAUGGUAUCAUGAAUUCGCAUGUUUUCAUGAUUAAAGAAUUUCGGUAUGAGAUGGGCAUGCGUCCCAUUAGCUAGUUGGUGAGGUAACGGCUCACCAAGGCGACGAUGGGUAGGGGGCCUGAGAGGGUGGUCCCCCACACUGGUACUGAGACACGGACCAGACUCCUACGGGAGGCAGCAGUGAGGAAUAUUGGUCAAUGGAGGCAACUCUGAACCAGCCAUGCCGCGUGAAGGAUGACGGCCCUAUGGGUUGUAAACUUCUUUUAUAUGGGAAGAAACUUAUCUACGUGUAGAUAACUGACGGUACCAUACGAAUAAGGAUCGGCUAACUCCGUGCCAGCAGCCGCGGUAAUACGGAGGAUCCAAGCGUUAUCCGGAUUCAUUGGGUUUAAAGGGUCCGUAGGCGGAUUUUUAAGUCAGUGGUGAAAGCCGACAGCUCAACUGUCGAACUG